AUGAUUCUUCCCACUCUCCAUCUUCUCUUGUGGAUGUCAGGGAAAGCAUGGAGGUGCCCUCUGACAGUGGAAGCAGGCCAGCUUUCUUGUCCUCAUCCAGUCAGAAUUAUUCAGAUGCAGGGCUUCUUGUCAGGAAUCCCCCAAACAGCCCUGACCAAUUCUUUGUUGCACUUUUCAUUUCUUUUUUUUUUGUCAAGGGCCUUGAAAGUGGAUGAACGGCCAGUGCUUGCACUUGCCGUUGUUAUUUCCAUGCUCCUAGGUCAGGGUGAAGAGUUGCUGACUUGUGGCUCUGCUGGUUUCACCAAGUGAGAUGUCCUGGCCUGACUCCUUCCGCGUGUCUCCAAUUGUCAGGGCAUAAAACAGGAGAAUGCUGGUUGUCCUGGAUGUGUGGAGGAUUUGCUGUGUUUGUUCAGCAUUGGGGAAGGAACCAGACUUGUGAGUUGCAGGAAGGCUUCUCCCUCUGCCUGGGCAUGAGGCCCUGCUGUCUUAUGCGUGAGGUCGCUUCUGAGUGAGGAACUGAUUGGAUAGCAGCAGAGAUGUGUCUGGAAAGGUGCUUGUGAGGUCCUUUCUACCUGAGCAGUUGACAGGUCAGGAGAGGACCCAUGGCUUGGAUGCUGGUGGUGAGGUCACUUCUGGGUUUGUUGCGUGUGCUCAGAGGAGGGAUUGAGCCCUGCAGAGCUCUACAGCAAUACAGAAAUGCAACUCAUUAAUCAAACAGAAGUAGAUGUUCCACAUCAUCUGGCACAAAUUUUGUUCCACUCUGUCAUCAUGCGGUAGUACUGCUACGUUUAAUAUGCAGAUGAUGUUCUGUGGUGAACAUGGACAUGGAGUUUGACAUUCCACUUGUUCCUAAGUAGAAGCUUGCAGCCUCCUGCCGGUCAGCUAGGGAGUCCAGCUAGACUUUUGAGGCUGCUAAAUGAAUCUAGUGGUGGUGUGAGCAGUGGUCUUAGUAAUCUCUUCUUCCCAGAGUGUGUGUGCUUUAGAAAUUGCCCCUGUCAAAAGAGCAAGGAGCUUGUGAGAUUUUCCUGCCAGGUCUGGAUGCUGUCUCUGGCUUUCAGGUGUCCACCGGCUUUUAUGACACAUUUGGGACUGUAAUACAUUAGAGGUCUCUGAUUUCUGUCCAUGUAUGCAGUCAUUGGGGAAUGGGUGCAAAGGCUGUUGGAGGAGACAGAAGGAAUGUCACCCCCCCAAAAAACAAAGGUAUGGGCCACAUUUCAAAGAGAUUUCUUGUUCGGAGGAGUUGAGGCACAAGCAAGAGGCAAGAGCUGGCCUGAUCAGCCCCUGUGAGAGCACUCGCUGUCUGUUUCCU
RNAcentral lists this long non-coding RNA (1309 nucleotides) under Apteryx haastii (Great spotted kiwi). Its description in RNAcentral is "lncRNA (ENSAHAG00000005061.1)". The record is from RNAcentral. Lineage: Eukaryota; Metazoa; Chordata; Aves; Apterygiformes; Apterygidae.